GCGCUGAGUGCCGCCGGAGGCGGCAGCGGGAGAACCAAUUUUGGGGUGAAUCGGCUCCGGCCGACGGGAACUUCCUUUUCCGAACCCGACAGCUAAUCUCGUAAGCGGAG
This 110-nucleotide small RNA is filed under the name chicken gut metagenome. RNAcentral's name for it is "ydaO/yuaA leader". It matches the Rfam family "c-di-AMP riboswitch aptamer (ydaO/yuaA leader)", at positions 11 to 119 of the family's 134-position model. From Rfam's summary of the family: This family represents a conserved RNA structure found upstream of the ydaO and yuaA genes in Bacillus subtilis and related genes in other bacteria. The record is from RNAcentral.